CUUGCAGGAAGCGUGGCCCCCGCCCGGGAGCGGGAAAGGGAAAGAGAAAGUUGCUUCCCGGCCCAGAGUCUCCACAUCUGCCAGCUGUGCAGAAUCACCUGUACGGGAACCAGAAUCUCACUGGUAAAAACUCAGCGCCCCUUUCCCGCGCCCGGCCUGAAGGGUCAAAAUCUCCGCGGCGAGGACCCGGAAUCUGGAUUUAACCAGAUGAGGAGCCUCAAGUGACCAGUGUUAGUUGGAGGAGCUGCUGUAAUUCACACGACUUGUUUCAAUACUUGGUACCCACGCAAAGCUUUCCUUCGUCCUACUGAGAGUUUUCCUUUACAACCAGGAGAGUGGCCUUGGUUCUCUUUCCAAAGUGAUACUGAGGAAAGCAUCAGCUACAGAGCCUGCACCUCUCAGGACUGCUGAGUAAGAACUUGACAUACUGCCGCACCCCACACCUCCAGUGGGUGAACUGGAUGAAGGGGGUCAAAAGGUGCAAAUUUCCAAGUAUAAGAUAAACAAGUUCUGGGGAUGUAAUAUACAGGAUGGAAGUGACAUCACCCAGAUGGCAACAUAGGUCAUCCCUGACUUCACUUCCCCUCAGAAAAACAACUAAUAACAAUUCACGGACAAGACACCACUGAGAAUCCUGGAACUUGGGAGGGAGGUUGAAGCAUGCCCUGCACCACAGAGACCAAGACUGACUGCAUUAGAAGAUUAUUGCAGCGGCAUCUCAUCAGGUUUCCCUGCGUCAGCCCUUGCCUGUGUAAGGUCCACUGUCAACACAGCAACUGGAGUGAUCCUUUGAAAACAUAAGGCAGAUCAUGCCACUUAUCUGCUCAACACUCUCUAAUGCUUUUCAUCUUACUCAGAGUGUAAGUACAGUCCUUGCAGGGAUGCCUGGGCAGCUGCUCAGUGUGCCCUCCUCUCCCCUCCCCUCCUAACCUCUCUGACCUUGUUCUCCUGUGACUCCCACUUUUUCACUCCACUCCAGCCACGCCGAUGCCCUGCUGUUCCUCCAACAUGCCAGUCAUGCUCGGAGCAGAGGGAGCAGCGAGUGCAAAGACCUUACAAUUUGAGCACAGAGAUGGCGGGAAGUAAUCUGAAACUCCAGCACAUCUCACACUAGUGGUUAGAAAAUCCCUGAGAGGAAAAGGCCUUUGCACUUUGCACUUGCUGUUCCCUCUGCUUGGAGCACUCCCUGCAGAUAGCUUCAUGCUCUCUUCCUCUUUGCAGGUCUUUAAACAAAUGUCACCUUCCCAGUGAGGACUUCCUAGCCACAUUAUGUAAAAUUUUGGCCCCUAUCCCCAGUACUCCCUAUUCCCCUUCCCUCAUUUUUCUUCUGGAAAGUCCAGGUUAUAAGGAGAAAAAACAGAGCACUAGCAAAAGGUAAAGCCAGUAGCUUCUUGGGAAGACGAUCACAGUGACUAAUCCAGGGUCACAAAGGCCAGUGCCUCCACAGUCCGGGCAGGUGCCUAAUGUGAAUGAGUGGGACAAUAGGGAAUGGUGGUGACUGGGGAAAAAUUGACCAUAUUGAGCUCCAUCUGAAAGCUUUAAAAUUCAUAUUUUAUAAAAUGUCUAUGCAGUCCAUACAAAAUGUGCCUGCUAAUCUAUAGAUGCUGCUAUAAUAAAAUCACUAGAUGCCUGAUGUUUCAAGUUCCAGUACCUUGAUCUCAGCAAUAGAAGUAGUCACUUUUCUGAAAAGGAGGAGGUUGGCAGGGAAAUAAAUGCUCUCUUUUCCUCUCAGAGAUUUUCUAACCACUAGUGUUAGAAGUUCUGGAGUUUCAUACUACUAUCCCCUCAUCUCUGUGCUCAAAUUCUAAGGCAGCUGGAAGAGGGCACCAGACAAAGGUUAGACUACCCAGGGUUUAAAUCCAAGCUCUGCCACUUGUAUUGAGACUUUAGUAACUAAGUAACUUUUAAAGUUACUUAAUAUUCUUAGAGCUUAGUUUGCUUAACAACAACACAAGAGUAACACCUACCUCAUAAGGCUUCAAUGAGUGUUAAAUGAAAUGAUGGGGGCCUAAGUGCUGUCUACAGAAAAAAAAACAAACUAUAGAAAUGAGAUGUUACUAGCUUACCAAAGAACAUUCGAUCUACUACCAAGCAAUAUCAUUUUUCAACAAGUAGAUUAGUUUUCUAACAAGUCCACUAUUACAGAGUACAAUGAGAAUUAUCGUUUAUCCAUAUUUUCUUAAUUUUCUUUAUGUGAUAGAUUCUCAAAUUUUCCUACACUCCUUUUCCGGUGAACUCUAACAGAAGCAUCCAAGGAGACCAGAAAUACGAAAUUAGUAAGAUUAUCUACACUGCUUCAUUAAAUUUAUAUUACUUCAAUCACGUAUGAGAAGCCUCCUGAAUAUAUUCACAAAGCUCAAAGAGUGAAAGCUUUUUUUAAGAAGUCAAAUGACAGUGAUUUAGGAAAAAGCUUUCAAGUUUAUCUAAUUAUACAGCCCAAUUAAAAUUAGAUAAUAGCUGUAAAGUUUCUGACACAUAGGAAACACUCAGUAAAUGUUAACUAUUAUAAUUAAAUUUUAGUACAGUGAUAUAACUUUGUUUUUAUACCAUUAUUGUCAUUAUUCAAUUUGAAUAAAUACUUUAUAAAGUAAAACAGUGACAAUCAAAAGGUACUGAUGGAAGAGACUGCCCACUGAUGGCGGACAGGCAGGGUGCCUGUUACACACAGGCAGGCAGGUUGCACAUUCACGUGGUCCCCAUUCCUGAAAAUGUCGUUCUUCAUUUCAUUGCUGAAGGCACAAUAUACCUAUUUUAGUAAUUCAGCAAAAUUAGCGGCAGGUAAAAAUGGAAUAAGCAUUGCUCACAUUUACAUUCAGAAAUCUGCUCCUCUGUUCACUCUGAGCACAUUUGUGACAAAAAUCCAAAUCCUAUAGCUGAGAUUACCCGCAGCUUGUGUGUAUACAAAACAGGGAGACCAGCGAAUGGCCCUUGUCUAGUUUGCCUGUGUGCCACAAACUUUAUGAAUGAAGCAAUGCAGUAUUGGGUGUCAGCAGAACAAACGUGUCAAAGUGAAGAUAACAGCCACCCCUAACUAUCCCCCGAGUUUGUGGAGAGGCUCAAAAGCGUAUAGAAAGGAAAAACGUGAGAAAGCACUUUAGGGACAAUACGGCCAUAUCAGAAGAUAACAGAGCACUUGCCAUUCUCAUUUACCUGCACUAACCUCCUUAGCAAAGGCUUUGGAGUUUGGGUUACUUGGGGCAACUUUUUACCCACUUGGCAAUGACUUUCCUAUUUGUAAUCUGCCAUUGUCAUCGCUGUCAUUUGGCUGGAACCAAACUGGCCAACUGCAGGAGGCACUCCUUCAGCUUUACACCUUCCCACCCCCCGGCCAUAGCAUCAUGCCUUUCUCCAUGUCUCCAUGCUGGAGGCUUUGGUAAAAGGCACCAUUGGGAGCCACCAUUCUGGUUUCCCCUGAGGUACCCCAAGUCACCCUGCGCUGAUACCCAACUAUGGAAUGUCCAUCCAAUCUGUAGAGCAGGGGUACAGAGGGAUACCACCGCCCAGCAGGAAGGACGGUGUUUUAGGAAAUCACAGAGGCUUUCUGGAAGUCACAAUGAUUGGAGGGGCUACUGUCAUUUAGGGGGUAGGAGUCAGGGAUGCCAGACAUCCUAAAAUGCAUAGGAUGGCCCCACAAAACGAAGACUUAUUUUGCAUCCCACUUAACUUGCAGAUGUCCUAUGAAAUAUUAUCCAUGUAGAUUAAAAACCUAUUUUAAAUGUUCUGAAUCUGGGUCCUAUGUCUGUUUUACAUUUAAACCUCAAGUAUCCUGGGUAUCAUUUUAACUUAUUUUGAAUUUUUCAGGAAUGCAGCCACUGGGUAAAAUGAAGGAAGAUUUUUGCCAAAAGUUGUUUACCUGUUUAGAAUAUCACAUCACUGCCAUCCAGAAUGCCUAAGUGGCCAGAUGCCCCUUCCAGCCCACUGAAAUGGCUCUCACCAAGAUCUCCAAUGACCACCGUAUUGCUAAAGACAGUGUGUGUACUUUUCUGUCCUCCUGACCACUCGGCAUCUGAGAAUCCUUUCACAAUGUAAAUAUGUAUAAAAUCACUAGGAUGUACACUUUAAAUAUAUUUAAAUAUAUUUGUCAGUUAUACCUCAAAGCUGAAAUUAGAAUUUAAAAAAAAGAGUACAUGCUCUGAACUUCCUGUAUUUGAAUCCCAACCUUGUAUUAUCAUGUGACCUUGCACAAGUUACUUAACCAUGCUGUUCCAGCUUCCUCAUCUGUAGAAUGGGGAAAACUCCAGCACAUGGAAAGGAAUACACAAAUGAAGGCAUGGGGAGGACCUGGCACGUGGUAAGCAUGCAGUGACAUUACUAGGAGCAUAUUAAAAUGUCUAAGAGGCCCUGAAGAGAAGAAACCAGCGUUGCUUUAUUUACUUCAAUAUUUCCCAAAUUUAUUUAACCAGAGAACUUAGAAUACGACUUAGUUUAAGGAAACGCAUGUUACUAGAUCUCUGACACAUCUCAACUCGAAGCCUUCCAAGCAGCUCCAGACUCACCAUGCAAACACAUGUAGGCACCUCAACUUCAAUAUGACAAAAAUCAAACACAUUAUCUCCCACCCCAGCCUUCCCUCUACCACCUACCAUAACCCAGCCUCCCACACCAGCAGUCUGAGGAGUCGCCAAGGUUUUUCUCACCCACUGCUCACAUCUACUCUGUCACCACCUUCUGCAAACUCUGCCACCAUACUCACUCUCAGAGCUGCCCCUGCCUCUCCAUUCCUUCUCUCUCACCACUGGUUUCCCUGACCUCAGUCUGACUCCUCCGUUGUUGCCAGAACAAUCACUCCAAAAUGCCUCGUUAGUCAUACACAUCCCCUUCUUAAAAGGUUGCUCGUGACUUUCUGGCUAAAGAUUAAGCUCUUUAGCACAAAACACACUUCUGUACCACACAAAUAUCCACCCAUCCAUGUAUUUAGAGGUGCCCGAGUGUGCCAUGCUCCAUCACGCCUCUGUGCCUUUGCACACUGCUGCCUUCCUGGAAUGCCCUUCUGCACCAAGAUGGCACCUCCUCUGGGAAGACUCUCUCGUCCCCAUUACUAGUCUGAUAUAAAGGCUUCUUAUCUGUUACUUCCCAUCGUUGACUCCUUAUCACCCAUUUCUCUCCCGAAUGAUUAAGUCAGUCAUGGCAAUUCCAGUCUCUUGGUGGCGUCUGGUUUAAAAAUGGGCAUGUGAGCCAACCCUGAAAAUGCAAAGGGAAGAGUCACUGGUGGGAACAGGGAGAAACGUCUGAGAAAGGCUUCUUGCUUCUAAGAAGACCAUCCUGGAAAGGAACAACAAUGUCAAGAAAGAUCUGUAUCUGAAAGAGACACCAGGAAUUCUGGCAAUGCCGGCAGCAAAUGGUCUGCAGAGACUUCUGGCCAACUGAGAAGGGCCAGGGAUGAAUGAACCUGGGUUCCCAAAGCUGGAAUCCUCCCUGACGCGGGACUUGUUGUCUUGGAUAAUAAAUCACCUUAUUUAAACCA
Molecule: long non-coding RNA, 5464 nt
Organism: Miniopterus natalensis
Lineage: Eukaryota; Metazoa; Chordata; Mammalia; Chiroptera; Miniopteridae
Source: RefSeq, a predicted model, not a curated record